CCUACGGGUGGCAGCAGUGGGGAAUAUUGCACAAUGGGGGAAACCCUGAUGCAGCGACGCCGCGUGAGUGAAGAAGUAUUUCGGUAUGUAAAGCUCUAUCAGCAGGGAAGAAAAUGACGGUACCUGACCAAGAAGCCCCGGCUAACUACGUGCCAGCAGCCGCGGUAAUACGUAGGGGGCAAGCGUUAUCCGGAUUUACUGGGUGUAAAGGGAGCGUAGACGGUUGUGCAAGUCAGAAGUGAAAGCCCGGGGCGCAACUCCGGGACUGCUUUUGAAACUGUGAAACUGGAGUGCAGGAGAGGUAAGCGGAAGUCCUGGUGUAGCGGUGAAAUGCGUAGAUAUCAGGAGGAACACCAGUGGCGAAGGCGGCUUACUGGACUGUAACUGACGUUGAGGCUCGAAAGCGUGGGGAGCAAACAGGAUUAGAUACCCUAGUAGUC
Molecule: ribosomal RNA, 440 nt
Filed under: uncultured bacterium
Lineage: Bacteria
Description: partial 16S ribosomal RNA
Rfam family: Bacterial small subunit ribosomal RNA
Source: RNAcentral